This 449-nucleotide ribosomal RNA is filed under the name uncultured bacterium. RNAcentral's name for it is "bacterial SSU rRNA". It matches the Rfam family "Bacterial small subunit ribosomal RNA", at positions 354 to 796 of the family's 1533-position model. The record is from RNAcentral.
GUCGAGAAUUUUUCACAAUGGGCGAAAGCCUGAUGGAGCGACGCCGCGUGGGGGAUGAAUGGCUUCGGCCCGUAAACCCCUGUCAUUUGCGAUCAACCCUCACGGCCUAAUACGUCGUGAGCUGAUGGUAGCGAAAGAGGAAGGGACGGCUAACUCUGUGCCAGCAGCCGCGGUAAUACAGAGGUCCCAAGCGUUGUUCGGAUUCACUGGGCGUAAAGGGUGCGUAGGCGGUCGGAUAAGUCUGACGUGAAAUCUCCAAGCUCAACUUGGAAAUGGCGUCGGAUACUAUUCGGCUCGAGGAAUGGAGGGGAGACUGGAAUACUUGGUGUAGCAGUGAAAUGCGUAGAUAUCAAGUGGAACACCAGUGGCGAAGGCGAGUCUCUGGACAUUUCCUGACGCUGAGGCACGAAAGCCAGGGGAGCAAACGGGAUUAGAUACCCCUGUAGUCC